GCAAAGGAGAUGGAUGGAAGGAAGAACCACACUACAACAUCGAAUCGAGGCCGAGACGGACCAACACAGACAAACAACUGCACACACAAGCCCCACCCCAAGCCAAAGCGAGAGAGACCACCCCAACCAACGCAGCAGCCAGCAACCUCCACCUCCUCCUCCUCCGCCGCGGCCGCCUUCCUCCUCCGCCGCCGCCGUCGCCGCCCGGACUCACUACCCCCUUGUGCUAACCCCCGGCCACCCAAGCAGGCCCCCCUCCCUCCACGACGGGCAGCGCGCCUCGGGAGGCACGCACGCGUCAGCAGCAGCGUCGUCAGCGUCAGCGGCAUCAGCAUCAGCAUCAGCAGCAGCAGCCGCGGCCGGAGAUCGCCUCCCCGCCUCCCCCCGCGUUCCAACGCGCCCCGCGCGCGGAAGCUGCAGCAGAGGUACAAGGUUGUUUGAUCUUGCUCAGGUGGCAGCUGGUCUCAGUUUUUUUCCCAUGGUUUCUGGAUAGGAAAAUUCUGGUAGGCUUCGUUCACAUGACGAAAGUUAGUUGUCAAGCUUGAAUUUUGUGGAGCAGGGAAACUUGUGUUUAUGCUAUGCUGUUUUAGGUUUUGUUUGGAAGUUACUCUGAGUGUACAGUUGACCUUGGCAUUUCAUAUCGUUCAUUCAUGGUUGGUUUUCUUA
This is a non-coding RNA of Oryza sativa Japonica Group (Japanese rice), 666 nucleotides long. Lineage: Eukaryota; Viridiplantae; Streptophyta; Magnoliopsida; Poales; Poaceae. The record is from RefSeq and is a predicted model, not a curated record.